This 253-nucleotide ribosomal RNA is filed under the name uncultured bacterium. RNAcentral describes it as "partial 16S ribosomal RNA". It matches the Rfam family "Bacterial small subunit ribosomal RNA", at positions 524 to 776 of the family's 1533-position model. The record is from RNAcentral.
UACGAAGGGGGCUAGCGUUGUUCGGAAUUACUGGGCGUAAAGCGCGCGCAGGCGGUUUUUCAAGUCAGUGGUGAAAGCCCGGAGCUCAACUCCGGAAAUGCCAUUGAAACUGUAAAACUUGAGGACGAGAGAGGUGAGUGGAAUUCCCAGUGUAGAGGUGAAAUUCGUAGAUAUUGGGUGGAACACCGGUGGCGAAAGCGGCUCACUGGUCCGGUUCUGACGCUGAGGCGCGAAAGCGUGGGGAGCAAACAGG